RNAcentral lists this ribosomal RNA (496 nucleotides) under uncultured bacterium. RNAcentral describes it as "partial 16S ribosomal RNA". It matches the Rfam family "Bacterial small subunit ribosomal RNA", at positions 29 to 523 of the family's 1533-position model. The record is from RNAcentral.
AAUGAACGCUGGCGGAAUGCUUUACACAUGCAAGUCGAACGGUAGAGGGGGCAACCCCUCGAGAGUGGCGAACGGGUGAGUAAUAUAUCGGAACGUGCCCAGUCGUGGGGGAUAACGUAGCGAAAGUUACGCUAAUACCGCAUACGAUCUAAGGAUGAAAGCGGGGGAUCGCAAGACCUCGCGCGAUUGGAGCGGCCGAUAUCAGAAUAGGUAGUUGGUGGGGUAAAGGCUCACCAAGCCAACGAUCUGUAGCUGGUCUGAGAGGACGACCAGCAACCCGGGAACUGAGCCACGGUCCAGACUCCUACGGGAGUGAGCAGUGGGGAAUUUUGGACAAGGGCCGCAAGUCUGAUCCAGCCAUUCCGCGUGCAGGAUGAAGGCCCUCGGGUUGUAAACUGCUUUUGUACGGAACGAAAAGGUCUCUCUUAAUACGGGGGGCUCAUGAUGGUACCGUAAGAAUAAGCACCGGCUAACUACGUGCCAGCCGCCGCCGUAA